GCCAGAGUGGUGAAAUUGGUAUACACGCGGCACUUAAAAUGCCGUUUCCGAAAGGAAGUACGGGUUCAAGUCCCGUCUCUGGUACAA
Molecule: transfer RNA, 87 nt
Filed under: Hymenobacter metallilatus
Lineage: Bacteria; Pseudomonadati; Bacteroidota; Cytophagia; Cytophagales; Hymenobacteraceae
Description: Hymenobacter sp. 9PBR-2 tRNA-Leu
Rfam family: tRNA
About the family: Transfer RNA (tRNA) molecules are approximately 80 nucleotides in length. Their secondary structure includes four short double-helical elements and three loops (D, anti-codon, and T loops).
Source: RNAcentral